This 186-nucleotide small RNA is filed under the name marine eukaryotic metagenome. Its description in RNAcentral is "IMES-1 RNA motif". It matches the Rfam family "IMES-1 RNA motif". The record is from RNAcentral.
AUCCGACUAAAGACCAACUGCAGACGAGAAUUAGAGAGUGAAAAGCUGGAAGAGCCCAUAGGGAGAAAGCGUUUAUAAGAGUCGGCGAUAAAAAAGAGCUUAUAAACCCACCAAGAAUUCUGGAGAAAGAAUUCAAGGAGCUAGAGAAAAUCUCACUUUAGACCCCUAAGGAACUCGAAUUAAGAA